ACGUGCCUGAAAUUAAAUAUAUGUUGAGAUUCUGAAAGGUUUUCUUCAUUAAGUCCUACAUGAGGGCCUAAAAAAAAAAAAAACAAAUGUACACGACAGGGAAAAUUGGCCAUAUUUUUAUUUUUGCAUGCAUAUUGUCCACAACCUGAAACAGUUCAAAGCACAGGGAGGGACUUUCCCCUGGAACUUCCCAUGUUGACACAGCUGGGAAUGUCAGCAGCAGAUAAGUACUCAUAUAAGCCACAGAAGCAUUGUAGGAAUCGGUCCUUAAUAACAAAGGGAAUUAAAAAUUUGUUCAUUUAGGAUUAAGUAAAAGGAAUUCUGCCUCACUUUUAGCUUCCCUUGACUAAUGCAGGUCACACUUCUGCUGCUGCAUCUUAGGCCACGGAGAGCAUCAGCUGCCAACUGCAGCUACAGAAAGUGCCUCCCUCCUACUUAAUGUGUAGUGGGUGCCAAAGGGAGUCUGGCUAAAAGCCUUUUAACAAAUAAUUAAACGUAAUAUCUGUUUUCUAUCAGGUUUCACUUGAUGUGAAACUGCCUGAGAGAUGUGUUUACAUAUUCACAGCAUACAUGAAAAGAAAAUCAAAACAAGGCAGAAACAGAUAGCUGGGACAAAACAUGUAUGAGGAACGUACUGAAGCUGGGCUGAAGAUUAGACAAGCUUAUAAAAGUGCAGAGAAUGCUCGUUAUGCACUGAAUCAACCCAGCAGAUGCAAGGCUCCUCCCUUCCCACUACUUUAUUUAUUUUAUUUUAUUUUAUUUUAUUUUAUUUUAUUUUAUUUUAUUUUAUUCUAUCAUUGUUUUGAGCUGCUGGGAGGACCCUUGGAGAAUUUCUCUUGGCCCUGUACAUAUCUCUGCUGAGUGCAGUCAAGCCUGGCCCCUCAGUGCUUCUGCUGUCCUCCUGAAGUCCCACUUGAUGUGACCUUUCAUGAUGAGCUGCAGAGUGACAGAAUCCAGAGUGAAGCCAGUAGCGUUGCGCAGGCUUGGCCUGCAAGCUUCAGGUGUUUAGAUCAGAUCUUCUCCCCUGUCACAGGUGUAGGAGUCCCAGCUGAGCUAAUACCAGUUUGGACUGGUGUGUUUUUCAAAAAUAAUUGAAGUGGCCCUUCAGAUCCACUUAGGGCUGGGCAUUUGUCAUCACCCCUGCUGCGCUCUCAAUUGCUGAAGACACGAAUGUAUUUCAACCAGAAUGAAAUCUGCUCAUUUUCAAUCACAUAUUUCCUCACUUCAGUUCUCUAAAAUGUCAUUCUGAUGAAGCAAAGGCCUGAAACAGGAAAAAGGCAAUAGCUGUUGUUUAUUUCUCUUUUCUUUCUCAGUGUGAGGAGAUUUGUUGGUCACUAAUUAUCACUGUGUGUCAGCCUCCCACCACAGCCCUGGUCUGUUUAUCUCUAUGUGUCCUGGUCUGAGUUGAAACAAUCAACAGUUUCUCUGAGCCAAAAUAAUAAUAAUUAAUAAUAAUAAUAAUAAUAAAUACCUGAACAAGAGAGAAAAAAAGGAAAUUCUAGACGUAAAAAAGCCUUGAAACUUGAAAGAUGAUUGAUCAAAGAAGAGUUCUGUUCUGAUCUUUCCUUACUGCUGUGAAAGAAACUGAACUUAGAUUGAAAGAGAUGAACAAGGUCCACCUGUCCUGCAUUAGUAAACACCUCCUUUCAAAGCCAGCCAGGAGGAUGCAACCUCAGAUAGGCUACAUGUUUUGAGUCUGAAAACCCAAGUCUUGGGUGGAUACAUUCAUUUUGUGGUUAGUGCUGGUGUUUUCCACGCAGGGAGCUCACUACUUACGGUGCUGUUUGUCUAUCCCCACAAGUGCUUUCCCCUCUGCUGCACCAUCUGACUGCUUGUAAAUCACAGAGAUGUUCCUACACCAUUUUAUUUGCUACCUGCUUUGGCAAACAUUAGGUUUCAUUUUCAAAGCAUUUCUGUGACUUUUUGAUGAAGUCCUCCCAAGGUGCUGGAAGCUGAGCACCUCACGUUAUAAGAAGAUAAAUGAAGUUGCAGAGUACUAAAAGGCUUGCUCCAAGACACAGGAGAAGGCCAUUUGAUGCUGGGGUACAAACCUCAUGGCGCUGUUCUCUGAAACCCUAACUUGCUGUCUCUCCCCAGGUGUCUGUCAGGGUCGUUGGGUUGCUGAGUAAUGCAAUUCCAUCUCAUGCUUCAGUGCCUUGCUUUGCAUACUAUAUAUAUGUAUACAAAAUAGUAGAAAAAGAGUAUUAACAAAGCACUUUUUUUUUUUUUUUUUUUAAUCAGAAAUCACAUUUGACUCCUUUCUGAGCUGGAGUGUGUUGCACUAAGUCACCAUGUGUUUGUGAUUGUCCCAAAGGGUUAGACAGCACUGCUCAUGUCAUGCAGACUAUUUCUGCUGAGGGAUGCGAGCACUGCCUAAUUAUACAGCAGAGAAGUAGCAAGUGUGCUAGCAGUAAUCUGCUGCAGUUCCUUAAAAAAACAACUACACCCAUGGUACAGUACAGCUGACUUUUCAUCCAGGCAGGAGAAACAGGAAACAUCAGGCAACAGCCAGAAAAACCCACCAAAAGGCACGUUCAGGAGUGAUUUACAACAGCAGGAAAAAAUUCAAAAUCUGAAAGACAGUAUCAGAAUUACUUCUUGCGGAGAACCCAGGCCCUGCAAUUUUGGAUGGCUGUCUUGUGUUACUGUAUGUAAAUCUGUAUAUGUACUGAAAUGGUACAGUCCGAGGAAAGCCUUGGUUCACCUUUCCAAUCAGCCCAGCAGAACACAAUAGCACCAUUUUAAUCUGCACCAAGAUUAAAUCUGAGCACUCCAGAUCAGACUUUUCCUUUCAUUGAAUGUAAACAAUCAAAUCUCACUCUGAAGCCCUUUCCUGCUUUACUUAGCUACGAGCUCUUACAUUUGCUUUUCUUUUAUUUAACGAACACACUUUCAUUUAAAAGAUGCUUAAAAUAAAAGUAGAUUCGAUAUUCAACAGGAUGUAUCUGAAAACCUAUUUUAUCCUGGCGGUAUAGAGCUGGAGGAACUCUGACCUGAGAAACUCUGAGAAAAACCUUUUUAAGCGUUCUGGUCAGAUUGUUAUCUCCUUUACUCCUCUCUGAAUUCAGAAUACACCUACUGGCUUCUGCAGAGCUGGUCCAGACUUUCACCACUGUAAAGAACAUUAAAAGAGAUGUUUUGCUUUUCAAUACUUUCUCAUUGCAGAUUUCACUCUUGCAGCGCUCUCCUCCAGGUAACUUGCUUUUCCUCUACCUCCAAGUGCCCUUCCUCAAAAAUCCCCUUUGCCAGCUGAGAAAAUGUGGGCGCUUGGAGGAGACCAAGAGGCCUUCCUGGUGCCAGGCUCCUGGCCUCGCUACCUGGGCAAGCUUCCCACUGCUACAGGAAGCCGCUUGUGGUCAGGGUGGGUCCUCCUUAACCUUGCCUGCGCAGCCAGGGGAGACGAAGGACUAUGCCAAAGAUACCAAAAAAAGCGGCUUUAACCCUCUGCAGCUGAAACAGGGGGUCAGGGAGAGGCCACUUGUAAUGUGACAUCCCAUGCGUGCUGCCUGACCUCCUUGUUUGGCAAACAUCUUCUUUUGGGUGAGGAACUUCAGAUAGGGUCUGUCACCAAAAAAAAAAAAAAAAAAAAAAAAAAGGCAGUUCACUUUAGUGAACACUUUAGCUAACUAGGCAGUUAGCUGUACCACAGUGAGGGGGGGCUGGGCAAAAAAAAAAAAAUAGAGGAGAAACUGGCAAGGGAGACAGUCCCUCUGGUCUGUAAAUAAUUAAAUGCUGAGUAGUCCUCAAAUGCAUACGUUGAGAAAGCUUAAUUUGCCCCCCUCUCCUGCUUGGAGGCUAAUUUAAUCCAUAUCACAGUUUUUGCAAAGACAUUCCUAAUGCUAUUGUGCUGCAAAUCCUGUCUGAUCCAACAUUCAAAUAUUUAUGUAAAGUGAAAUAUGUCUGGAAAGAAGUCAAAACAAAACAAAUAUGCCACACAAUCUCUUUCCCAUAUGUCCCUCCCUCCUCAUUUACAUUCACGUUAAACCCUCCGCAACCAGGUCCCGACUGCUAGUGGUGGUUACUGGCUGAUAAUUGCAGAGCCCCUUUCUUUGAGCACACGGAUGGCCUUACAUCUUGCCAAGCAAUUCAGUCUGGAGCUCUCAGGAGCUGCAAAAUGCUUUUGCAGCAAUUUUUUCUCCUCUCUGCAAUGGCACGGCUGACACACACCGCAGCUCGCUCCCAGCGGAUCCGCGACGCCAAGCGGUGCAAAGGAUGCGUGUGAAAUGUGCCACGUUCACAACUGACUCCUGCGUACAGCCGUCCUCCCCCCAGAGGUGAUGAAAGCCUGCAAUUUCAUUGACUUCAGUGGUGGAGAAUGCUGCCAGGACCGGAGCGCUCAGGGUGUGACAGGCUGCGGCUGCGGCCUGCAGUGUCAAGGGAGCUGGGGAGCCCCGCUCAGGAAAGAACCUGAGAACUGAAAAUAGCUAUCCUUGAUGCUUUCCUUUCUUAUACGGGGCCCUGAGCGUUCAGAAAUCUUCUGGGACUGGUCUCGGUGGGGAAGACAGUGCUAUUCCCUUCACGAGGCCUUCAAUCCAGCACUUAUGCCUUAUAUGGGGUCUUUUAAAGGAUACUUUGCCCUUACACAGCUAUUUCAAGCCCUUCAGCUGGAAAAGAGAGAUUGCUUCUGCCACUGCUGUGGAAGGUCUGGAUGACCCUGCCUUGCAGAGCAGCCCCAGGGCAGCCAUAAAUCAAGGAAAUGCAACAUCCUGAAGCCAGAGAGGUGGCCACAUCCUCCCACUCAGCAGUAGCAGGAGGAAAGCAAAGCAGAAACCAGAGCUGCCCCUGUGAUGCUGUAAUUAUGAUGAAGUGCUGGGGGUGACCUCAGAAGCAUGAGAGCAGAGUACCUUUACAAAUGGAUUAUUUAUCAGGGUCAGACGUGCUGAUCUGCUCCUCUGGGACUAUUUACAAGCAAGGGUGAGAGUAACUAAACCUGAAAUCUAUAUAGCUUUAGGCAUAUUUGGGAAUAAGAAACCAGUAUCUUACGGAACAUAAAGUAUCCCAUCAUGAAGCACAGCAGCAGCAAAAAAUAAGAAUGAAAAAAAGGUGGUGGCUUACCUAUUUUAUGUUUUUAUACUUGUAAAGGUUUGAAUCUGUGACACAGAUUGUGGUGAGACUAAAAGUGGUCACACCUGACACAGUCUUAACUCUUCUUUUUUUCUUUCUUCUUUCCCUCAUUAAAAGCACAGUUUUGGCUAUAUUCAGUUUUCCUGAGUUCUCCCUUCUUUUAAGUUUGAAUCAGGGACAUGACACUCAUGUAGUCACAAGUUUCUAAGAGACCACCAACACAAGUUUCCCACCAGUCCUUUAACGAUGCCUAAUGGCUUCAUGAGUAAGAACCUCAUCUCGGAGAACAUCUCAACUCCCAUAAGCAGGGAAAGGUGCCU
This is a long non-coding RNA of Gallus gallus (chicken), 5384 nucleotides long. The record is from Ensembl. Lineage: Eukaryota; Metazoa; Chordata; Aves; Galliformes; Phasianidae.